RNAcentral lists this non-coding RNA (106 nucleotides) under Blautia sp. RNAcentral's name for it is "TPP sequence". It matches the Rfam family "TPP riboswitch aptamer (THI element)". From Rfam's summary of the family: Vitamin B(1) in its active form thiamin pyrophosphate (TPP) is an essential coenzyme that is synthesised by coupling of pyrimidine and thiazole moieties in bacteria. The previously detected thiamin-regulatory element, thi box was extended, resulting in a new, highly conserved RNA secondary structure, the THI element, which is widely distributed in eubacteria and also occurs in some archaea. Lineage: Bacteria; Bacillati; Bacillota; Clostridia; Lachnospirales; Lachnospiraceae. The record is from RNAcentral. RNAcentral also lists the same sequence under 1 other name.
AGUAAAAAACAGGGGAGCUUGUAAACAGGCUGAGAGGAAGUUGUGAACUUCGACCCGGGAACCUGAUUUGGAUAAUGCCAACGUAGGAAGAAAGAAGAGAUUUCAG